UUUGUUUUUCUCGUGAUUGCAUCGCAUACGGCACCGAUGUCCUAGCAAUUGAAUGCGGAGAAAUAAGAUUAGAAAAGCCGAUACUCGCAUUCACUGAAUGCCUGUACAAUUAGAAUUUUUUACAUUAUAAAAAAUAAGGAACGGGUAGAUAUGAUUGACAAUCUUCUAAAUACAUGGUAUGUGGCCCAAAGUAAUAACAUUUGAUCCCAAACCAACGCUGUGAUUUAUAUAUAUGAAGAAGUUAUCACUUGUCUUAGUGAAUGGGAUGGAGCGAGAUUCGAAUCUAAAUUUACAUGCGUGUCGAAUCCACAGAUUUUCUGGAAUCGUAUUGAAAAUCGAUUUCUCUACAUCUUUCACCGAGGCAUUAUUCAUUUACGUUCCUACUAAUUGCAGCAUCCGUAAUAUAAGAUCUACCCUAGGGUGGUCCAAGGUUGCGAGGUUGGUGGGACGCAAAAACUUUUGACGAUGUCUCGCGGGCCACAGUAGAAGAAAACCCAAAAGUGAUAAAACAUCGCGAGUUUACCCAUUUGCUUCUUGAGAAGUAUCGUCGAAUUUUUGGCAUCUUUCCCCAUGUUUGAUUUUUUAAUGUCGCUUAAAAUUAUAUUCGUCCGUGGUAGAUAUUACUUGGAAACACACCAAACACUGUCAUUGAACGUUGUUGUGGAGAAGGAAAUACGUUUCUACUUUCUUGGUAACUUUUUCUACACUUAUUGUAUGAUGAAUUCAUUUAUUUGACUAAUUUUAUUACUUUUAGCGUGACAAGGUCUGGUGGUAACGUCAACGAAAAACAGAACAACCACUAAGUCUGGUCUGCGUUUCGUCAUUGCUGUCACAUGGCCAACGCUUGAAAAUAGAGAAGUGUUUUUACUAAAAUAAAUGCUCAAAACGUCUCUCAAAUUGAGAAGUUACUCAAGGCGAGAUUAAUGUACGAAGUUUAGAUGAAAGCGCGAUUCAUCUCAUCGGCUUGGUCAUGUCUGCACAAGACAAUUCAUUGUCCUUAUAUCGAUCAUUUCCAUCCUGGCAUAGUCUUGACGUUUAUAGAUACAACAUUGAAAUUCCGCGAUUUUACCAAACAUCAAUCUCGACAUCGGGAUUAGGAAAAAGGCCAAUCCCAGUUGGAAUAGUUUAAAAAUAACUCAAAAAUAUUCUGCCAAUAAAUACACAUAUCUACCAAUGGUUUAGUACACGCUAAAAUUGUUCUGCGGGGCGCAAGGAAUGUGUUCUCGGGCCGCGGUGUGAACCACCCUGAUCUACCCUAUAAAGCUCGGUAAAAGCAAUGCCUAAUCAUAAUCAGUUAACCGCUAUCUUGAAAUUCAUACUAACAUACAUUCCUAAAUCAUCAAAGGUUAUUACUGUUCCACCCGAAAGUUGGCCAGGGCAAAUUUGACGUUUUUACGUACACUACGAAGACGCGUCUGACGCAUUACACAAUGGUAUGUUGUGAGUUUGUUGAUUAAUUAUGAUAAUUGGUAAAUUAGAAGCGCAAUGGUUGGAUGUCUUGUCUCAGUCUAGCGCAGUAUUCAGUGUGAAUCAGUGUUUACAGGUUCUGUAUUGUUGGUAGUACUCGCUAUGUAUCUGUUGGAAAUGACAAUUUGUGAGUUUACAAAUUCUUGUAAGAAUUGAUGUUCUCAAGUCUAAUACAAAUAUAAUGUAGGGCAGUAUUACAGUCAACUUAGCGCAGUAACUACUGCUUUAAUAUUUUAUUCAUAAAACUUGGAUUUUAUUUACUCCAAGGCAUAUUUCGUUUGAUUGUGUUACUUGUAGAGUCAAAACAUUAGAUGCCAUGAUCCUGAUUUCAUUCCCAGUUCCAUCGUGUUGACUGUUUUGAACAAACUACACAGAUUUUUAGUUGAAUUUCAUUGGGACAUAGCACUUUACGGCACAGAUAAUAUGCUGGAACCCCUUGCUCUCUAAUAUCAAACACUAGUAACUGGUUCAGAAACAAAUCGUUUUGUUCGUGACAAGACUUGUUUAUUGGGGGUGCGUUGUCGAAGAUCUUCAACCACUAAUAUUUAGCUACGAAUGUAAACUUUUCUUUUCUUUUGAAAAGCCGAGAACAUUUGAAAAAUAUAUUGCAUUUUAAGAAUAUCCUAACGUCAAAGCCAGGAGAAUGAGCAUGUGUUCAAGUAUUCAAAAUGAAAUGAAAAAUACCUAUUGCUUCAAUUAUCACCCUUCCGAAAUUUACAAAACCAUCUACACAGAAAGCUAAACUCACAUCUCCCACUAACCUUUUGAUUUCUGGUUUUCUUCUCUCUAAAGGUAUUUGAGUUUUAAGUCAAUUUCUUAUGCUCCACAUUUUCAGGAAUGUUUGUAAAUGAGCGUUCUUGGCCUGAAUCGCUUGUUUUCUGAAUAAAGGUCCACAAUUCAUAUGUUUUGUUAUAUUCAUUAUGACAUCAUACAAAACCUCUGUCUUAGCAGUUAAAGGUGGAUAAAGACGCCAAAACGGCAAAAUUAUACCCGCAUAUAGAAUAUAUAUCUAGAAGAAAACGAAGUAGCAUAACAAAACAGAUAAUGUUUAAAUUUUAGUACCAUAUUUUAGAUAGGCUGAAGUAUGUUUCGUGAUUAUGGCGUGAUUGUUUCGGCCAUCCACAUAAAAAUGUCGGUUCUUUUAAUCACGCGUGUAUCAAGUCUUGCGAUCUGGUAGAUAUCGAUGUUUAAUUUGUUUUAAUUUAUUGCGGAACUGCGCGUUCUGUUUGACAAAUUCGAAAACUACUGUGCGAUUAUUGUCGACGAGACGCCAGGGAAAUUAUAGAAAUUAAUUUGAAAUCCCUGUCUCCAAAUUAACUUUAUUUUGAUUAUUAUAUUUCGCGUCGGCUUUGAUCUUCCUUAUCGUCACUUUAAAAUGAAAAAGUAAACAAUAUCUUUGCUACUGGCCUCGGGAUUCGUUGUAUUUUCCUGUCACAUCCAUGUUUUUGCAUUAAAUAUAACUCAUGAAAUGUCGUCACUGCGGAUCGGUGAAAAUUUCUGAUAAGAUUGACUCAAUGUUACUUCAUUAAGAACUUGUAUUAAUGUUUCCAAUUUUACAAAACGACCAACUGAAUAAUUAAAAAUCAUGCAACAUUAGGGCGACAUUAUGCUCAUCGAGGAAUUGAAAUAAUAUCAUAUCCACUGGAAAUAAAUAAAAAUAUUAUACCGCAAAUAUAACACUCAAUUCUGACGCCAUUGUCCGUUAGCCAGAAGUGUAUGCUGAUUCUCGUGUCUCAUACGAUGUGCUGUCCAAGCGUUUAAUUCGGCGACGUACAAACGACGUGCCGUGUCCAGGCCACGUGUUGUGUUAACAGAUAUUAGAACAGUAAACUGUUAUUCUAAUAUUCGAUAGGAUAUUCGAAUAUUUUCCCCAACUCGAACUAAACUGAAACUUAUAACCACGCGGACUGCCGACAAAGCCACCCCCAUGAAUAUUCACAGGAAGUCAUCCAUCAAUGAGGCAGAAUCCUGACGCGGGUCGAGUAGGGUCCAAAACUAGUGUCAGAAUUUUUCCUUCCAAGGUUCGGUUCUUUUUCCGCAACUCAACAUCGAGUCAUCAAAGUUUGUGUCUGUAUUCUUUUGUCCUCUUUUCCAAAACUAAUUGCAAAUAGCUUCGGUUUGCUUCGCUCAGUCAAUCGCAAAAAAUCUGGUCCAACUAGCCAUCUGUCAGAAUUCUAUAAAAACUUAGGAAUAUCCAUUCAUCUAGUGCAGUAAUCAGUUGGAUUUUGCGCGGAAUCAGCUUUAAGUAGAACGAUUCUGGCAAUUUUCUUGGAAUGCUUCAAUUAUAUUUGACAGAAUAUUCCAAAUUUGUACAGGGAAUAUUUACAUUCAACAUCUUUGAAUUGACGAGGAAU
Styela clava is the source of this 3821-nucleotide non-coding RNA. Lineage: Eukaryota; Metazoa; Chordata; Ascidiacea; Stolidobranchia; Styelidae. The record is from RefSeq and is a predicted model, not a curated record.